CGGUCAAAUCACACUGAAACACCGGUUCUCGUACGAUCACCGAAGUUAAGCAGCGUAGAGCCAGGUCAGUACUGAGAUGGGGGACCGCUUGGGAACACCUAGUACUGUAAG
This 111-nucleotide ribosomal RNA is filed under the name Acanthosepion pharaonis. Lineage: Eukaryota; Metazoa; Mollusca; Cephalopoda; Sepiida; Sepiidae. The record is from RNAcentral.